CCCUUAGAUGUCCUGGGCCGCACGCGCGCUACACUGACAUGUUCAACAAGCCUCCUAGUUCGACAGGAUUUGGGAAAUCUUUGAACGCAUGUCGUGAUAGGGAUAGAUCAUUGCAAUUAUUGAUCUUGAACGAGGAAUUCCUAGUAAACGCGAGUCAUCAGCUCGCGUUGAUUACGUCCCUGCCCUUUGUACACACCGCCCGUCGCACCUACCGAUUGAAUGUUUCGGUGAAGAUUCCGGAUAGGACUUUUUUGAUUUAUUUCAAUUCUGUCUUAAAAGCUAUCUAAACCUCAACAUUUAGAGGAAGGUGAAGUCGUAACA
RNAcentral lists this ribosomal RNA (321 nucleotides) under uncultured eukaryote. RNAcentral describes it as "partial 18S ribosomal RNA". It matches the Rfam family "Eukaryotic small subunit ribosomal RNA", at positions 1470 to 1796 of the family's 1831-position model. The record is from RNAcentral.